RNAcentral lists this long non-coding RNA (290 nucleotides) under Setaria viridis. RNAcentral describes it as "long non-coding RNA (SVIR_LNC008502)". The record is from RNAcentral. Lineage: Eukaryota; Viridiplantae; Streptophyta; Magnoliopsida; Poales; Poaceae.
GAGGAUCUAGGAGAUCUGCUUAACUUCAGUGUAGGCUCCGAAUCGACUCGCGAGUGGUGCAAGGCGUGCUAGUCAAUUUGACCUGCAAUUGACAAGGAAAACGUAAAAUUCAUGAGCCGACAGGCAGCGAAGCCUUCGAACUCAUAGGUAAUUAUUUUUUGAAUAAACACCACGACAGAUAGAUUCAGUAAUCAUGCGGUGUAAAAAAAUAAAAUAUUAAUGGCAUGUGACAUGAGCUAUGUCAGCCGAUGGGCUAAGAUAAAACAUUGUAACGCAACAACCAUAAAAGG